RNAcentral lists this unclassified non-coding RNA (556 nucleotides) under Nigrospora osmanthi. RNAcentral's name for it is "sequence contains 18S rRNA gene, ITS1, 5.8S rRNA gene, ITS2, 28S rRNA gene". The stretch from base 197 to 350 matches the Rfam family "5.8S ribosomal RNA". Lineage: Eukaryota; Fungi; Ascomycota; Sordariomycetes; Amphisphaeriales; Apiosporaceae. The record is from RNAcentral.
UCGUAACAAGGUCUCCGUUGGUGAACCAGCGGAGGGAUCAUUACAGAGUUAUCCAACUCCCAAACCCAUGUGAACAUAUCUCUUUGUUGCCUCGGCGCAAGCUACCCGGGACCUCGCGCCCCGGGCGGCCCGCCGGCGGACAAACCAAACUCUGUUAUCUUCGUUGAUUAUCUGAGUGUCUUAUUUAAUAAGUCAAAACUUUCAACAACGGAUCUCUUGGUUCUGGCAUCGAUGAAGAACGCAGCGAAAUGCGAUAAGUAAUGUGAAUUGCAGAAUUCAGUGAAUCAUCGAAUCUUUGAACGCACAUUGCGCCCAUUAGUAUUCUAGUGGGCAUGCCUGUUCGAGCGUCAUUUCAACCCCUAAGCACAGCUUAUUGUUGGGCGUCUACGUCUGUAGUGCCUCAAAGACAUUGGCGGAGCGGCAGCAGUCCUCUGAGCGUAGUAAUUCUUUAUCUCGCUUCUGUUAGGCGCUGCCCCCCCGGCCGUAAAACCCCCAAUUUUUUCUGGUUGACCUCGGAUCAGGUAGGAAUACCCGCUGAACUUAAGCAUAUCAAUAA